AAAUAUCUAAAGCUGAGUAAAUGGAGACAGAUAAAAUAGAUUAGCAUAAAAAUGAUUCACAGCAUUUUGAACUCAUUUUAAUAAGAUAAAAUAGAUUCAUUUCACACAAAUAAACAACAAGGCUUAUGAUUUCUUGAAAAGCUUGGCUCGUGCCAAAAUCAUUCUCAUACUCGGUUGUCAGGGAUACCUUGGCCUGGAGCUAUCCCAACCG
RNAcentral lists this long non-coding RNA (211 nucleotides) under Theobroma cacao (cacao). RNAcentral describes it as "long non-coding RNA (TCAC_LNC004566)". The record is from RNAcentral. Lineage: Eukaryota; Viridiplantae; Streptophyta; Magnoliopsida; Malvales; Malvaceae.